Molecule: ribosomal RNA, 386 nt
Filed under: uncultured prokaryote
Description: bacterial SSU rRNA
Rfam family: Archaeal small subunit ribosomal RNA
Source: RNAcentral
GCGCGAAAACUUUACAAUGCUGGCAACAGCGAUAAGGGAACCUCGAGUGCCAGGUUACAAAUCUGGCUGUCGAGAUGCCUAAAAAGCAUUUCAUAGCAAGGGCCGGGCAAGACCGGUGCCAGCCGCCGCGGUAACACCGGCGGCUCGAGUGGUAAUCGUUGUUAUUGGGUCUAAAGGGUCUGUAGCCGGCCGGAUAAGUCUCUUGAGAAAUCUGGCAGCUUAACUGUCAGGCUUUCAGGAGAUACUGUCUGGCUCGAGGCCGGGAGAGGUGAGAGGUACUUCAGGGGUAGGGGUGAAAUCUUGUAAUCCUUGAAGGACCACCAGUGGCGAAGGCGUCUCACCAGAACGGACCUGACGGCAAGGGACGAAAGCUAGGGGAACGAACC